AAGUUUAGCCUCAUUUACAUAUAUUUUAAAACACGUAAUUAAAGGCAAUACGAUGCACAUUUUGUGGGUUAAAUGCAACUGUAUAUAAACAACUUGAUUUAAAAAUUAAAUCAUAGUUUGAUUUAGACUGUUCUAAACAAAACAACCAAUAAAAAUGUUCAAAUCACUGGUAGUCCUUGCUAUUUUGGCAAUUGCUUUUGUAGCAGCUAAACCAGAUCCAUCUCCUGCGAUCUACGCACCUGCUGCUUAUCCCUACGCAUAUUCUGCCCCAUACGCUGGAUACUCUUUCGGAGGUUUCCCAUCACUUAGCUACACUGCUAAAUUUUAUGGAUAUUAUUAAAUUGUAGAAAAAUAUAAUAAAAUUUGCACUAUUUCAA
Long non-coding RNA from Aethina tumida (small hive beetle), 377 nucleotides. RefSeq lists it as uncharacterized. Lineage: Eukaryota; Metazoa; Arthropoda; Insecta; Coleoptera; Nitidulidae. The transcript has 2 exons. The record is from RefSeq and is a predicted model, not a curated record.